Molecule: ribosomal RNA, 924 nt
Filed under: uncultured bacterium
Lineage: Bacteria
Description: bacterial SSU rRNA
Rfam family: Bacterial small subunit ribosomal RNA
Source: RNAcentral
CAGGCGGAAGAUCAAGUCAGCGGUAAAAUUGAGAGGCUCAACCUCUUCGAGCCGUUGAAACUGGUUUUCUUGAGUGAGCGAGAAGUAUGCGGAAUGCGUGGUGUAGCGGUGAAAUGCAUAGAUAUCACGCAGAACUCCGAUUGCGAAGGCAGCAUACCGGCGCUCAACUGACGCUCAUGCACGAAAGUGUGGGUAUCGAACAGGAUUAGAUACCCUGGUAGUCCACACAGUAAACGAUGAAUACUAAUUGUUCGGGGAGAAUGAUCCCUGAGUGAUACAGCGAAAGCGUUAAGUAUUCCACCUGGGGAGUACGCCGGCAACGGUGAAACUCAAAGGAAUUGACGGGGGCCCGCACAAGCGGAGGAACAUGUGGUUUAAUUCGAUGAUACGCGAGGAACCUUACCCGGGCUCAAACGACACAGGAAUACUUUUGAAAGGAAGUAGCUCUACGGAGCCUGUGUCGAGGUGCUGCAUGGUUGUCGUCAGCUCGUGCCGUGAGGUGUCGGCUUAAGUGCCAUAACGAGCGCAACCCCCAUCGCCAGUUACCAGCAAGUCAAGUUGGGGACUCUGGCGAGACUGCCGGCGCAAGCUGUGAGGAAGGCGGGGAUGACGUCAAAUCAGCACGGCCCUUACGUCCGGGGCGACACACGUGUUACAAUGGCAGGUACAGAGAGAAGCAAUGCGGCGACGCAAAGCGGAACUUGAAAGCCUGUCUCAGUUCGGAUUGGAGUCUGCAACUCGACUCCAUGAAGCUGGAUUCGCUAGUAAUCGCGCAUCAGCCAUGGCGCGGUGAAUACGUUCCCGGGCCUUGUACACACCGCCCGUCAAGCCAUGGAAGCCGGGAGUGCCUGAAGUGUGCAACCGCAAGGAGCGCCCUAAGGUAAAACUGGUGACUGGGGCUAAGUCGUAACAAGGUAACCGUAA